This 66-nucleotide transfer RNA is filed under the name Scelimena melli. RNAcentral's name for it is "tRNA-Asn". The record is from RNAcentral. Lineage: Eukaryota; Metazoa; Arthropoda; Insecta; Orthoptera; Tetrigidae.
UUAAUUGAAGCCAAACAUAGAGGCAUAUUAUUGUUAAUAAUAGAAUUGAAUAACAUUCCAAUUAAA